GACGAACGCUGGCGGCGUGCUUAACACAUGCAAGUCGAACGGAAAGGCCCUGCUUUUGUGGGGUGCUCGAGUGGCGAACGGGUGAGUAACACGUGAGUAACCUGCCCUUGACUUUGGGAUAACUUCAGGAAACUGGGGCUAAUACCGGAUAGGAGCUCCUGCUGCAUGGUGGGGGUUGGAAAGUUUCGGCGGUUGGGGAUGGACUCGCGGCUUAUCAGCUUGUUGGUGGGGUAGUGGCUUACCAAGGCUUUGACGGGUAGCCGGCCUGAGAGGGUGACCGGCCACAUUGGGACUGAGGUACGGCCCAGACUCCUACGGGAGGCAGCAGUGGGGAAUAUGGCAGAAUGGGCGGAAGCCUGAUGCAGCAACGCCGCGUGCGGGAUGACGGCCUUCGGGUUGUAAACCGCUUUCGCCUGUGACGAAGCGUGAGUGACGGUAAUGGGUAAAGAAGCACCGGCUAACUACGUG
RNAcentral lists this ribosomal RNA (468 nucleotides) under uncultured bacterium. Its description in RNAcentral is "partial 16S ribosomal RNA". It matches the Rfam family "Bacterial small subunit ribosomal RNA", at positions 28 to 507 of the family's 1533-position model. The record is from RNAcentral.